AUUGAACGCUGGCGGCAUGCCUUACACAUGCAAGUCGAACGGCAGCACGGGUGCUUGCACCUGGUGGCGAGUGGCGAACGGGUGAGUAAUACAUCGGAACAUGUCCUGUAGUGGGGGGUAGCCCGGCGAAAGCCGGAUUAAUACCGCAUACGAUCUACGGGUGAAAGCGGGGGACCUGCGGGCCUCGCGCUAUAGGGUUGGCCGAUGGCUGAUUAGCUAGUUGGUGGGGUAAAGGCCUACCAAGGGGACGAGCAGUAGCUGGUCUGAGAGGACGACCGGCCACACUGGGACUUGGACACGGCCCAGACUCCUACGGGAGGCCGCAGUGGGGAAUUUUGGACAAUGGGCGAAAGCCUGAUCCAGCAAUGCCGCGUGUGUGAAGAAGGCCUUCGGGUUGUAAAGCACUUUUGUCCGGAAAGAAAUCCUUGGCCCUAAUACGGUCGGGGGAUGACGGUACCGGAAGAAUAAGCACCGGCUAACUACGUG
This 486-nucleotide ribosomal RNA is filed under the name uncultured bacterium. RNAcentral's name for it is "partial 16S ribosomal RNA". It matches the Rfam family "Bacterial small subunit ribosomal RNA", at positions 29 to 507 of the family's 1533-position model. The record is from RNAcentral.